This is a long non-coding RNA of Sebastes umbrosus (honeycomb rockfish), 408 nucleotides long. RefSeq lists it as uncharacterized. Lineage: Eukaryota; Metazoa; Chordata; Actinopteri; Perciformes; Sebastidae. The transcript is spliced from 3 exons. The record is from RefSeq and is a predicted model, not a curated record.
CUUUAUGAUCUUGAAGGAUGUGAGCUCCACAAUCUGGCUGAUGACCUCAUCAGAGAUCGACAAGUCCAGGUACCUCAUGAUGCGCUCCACUUCACGCCGAGGAUUCUGGGGGAGUAAAUAUGAGCCUCGCAGGGUGCUGCUAAUCCUGUCACGAUCAUUGAGGCAUACUAAGUUUCUCACGGGGAAAAACAGUGAGGAGGCACCAAGUGGAAAGGAAGAUGUGUCUUGAUAAUUCUUGGAGGAUCCAUGGUCUUCAGAAGAUCAAGACCUGAAAGAGGUUCAGGAGAGAGGAUAUAUGAAAGAGUUGAAACACACUUUUACAUACUAUUUCAGAUUCUAUGUAAUGCUUAUGUGUAAGUCCCACUAAUGCACAGAGAUGGACUACAGCUGCUUUAUGACCGUCAACUG